GAUGAACGCUGGCGGCGUGCCUAAUACAUGCAAGUCGAGCGAACGGACGAGAAGCUUGCUUCUCUGAUGUUAGCGGCGGACGGGUGAGUAACACGUGGAUAACCUACCUAUAAGACUGGGAUAACUUCGGGAAACCGGUGCUAAUACCGGAUGAUAUUUUGAACCGCAUGGUUCAAAAGUGAAAGACGGUCUUGCUGUCACUUAUAGAUGGAUCCGCGCUGCAUUAGCUAGUUGGUAAGGUAACGGCUUACCAAGGCAACGAUGCAUAGCCGACCUGAGAGGGUGAUCGGCCACACUGGAACUGAGGCACGGUCCAGACUCCUACGGGAGGCAGCAGUAGGGAAUCUUCCGCAAUGGGCGAAAGCCUGACGGAGCAACGCCGCGUGAGUGAUGAAGGUCUUCGGAUCGUAAAACUCUGUUAUUAGGGAAGAACAUAUGUGUAAGUAACUGUGCACAUCUUGACGGUACCUAAUCAGAAAGCCACGGCUAACUACGUG
RNAcentral lists this ribosomal RNA (497 nucleotides) under uncultured bacterium. Its description in RNAcentral is "partial 16S ribosomal RNA". It matches the Rfam family "Bacterial small subunit ribosomal RNA", at positions 28 to 507 of the family's 1533-position model. The record is from RNAcentral.